RNAcentral lists this ribosomal RNA (492 nucleotides) under uncultured bacterium. RNAcentral's name for it is "partial 16S ribosomal RNA". It matches the Rfam family "Bacterial small subunit ribosomal RNA", at positions 29 to 507 of the family's 1533-position model. The record is from RNAcentral.
AGUGAACGCUGGCGGUAGGCCUAACACAUGCAAGUCGAACGGCAGCACAGUAAGAGCUUGCUCUUACGGGUGGCGAGUGGCGGACGGGUGAGGAAUACAUCGGAAUCUACUUUUUCGUGGGGGAUAACGUAGGGAAACUUACGCUAAUACCGCAUACGACCUACGGUUGAAAGCAGGGGAUCUUCGGACCUUGCGCGAUUGAAUGAGCCGAUGUCGGAUUAGCUAGUUGGCGGGGUAAAGGCCCACCAAGGCGACGAUCCGUAGCUGGUCUGAGAGGAUGAUCAGCCACACUGGAACUGAGACACGGUCCAGACUCCUACGGGAGGCAGCAGUGGGGAAUAUUGGACAAUGGGCGCAAGACUGAUCCAGCCAUACCGCGUGGGUGGAGAAGGCCUUCGGGUUGUAAAGCCCUUUUGUUGGGAAAGAAAAGCAGCAGGUUAAUACCCCGCUGUUCUGACGGUACCAAAAGAAUAAGCACCGGCUAACUUCGUG